UUAGCUAUUUUAGAUAGGUUUGUAUUCAUAUUCAUUAUGGGUACAAACGAAAAGUAUGUUUGUAUCUAUGAUGGCUAAAGCAUUUAAUCUUGCAUACACUAGCCACGUAGAGAUCGCAACAAUCUACAGUGGCUUUUUUCUUUUAACGUACACUUUGAUUGUUGUAGACAUUUAAA
Molecule: non-coding RNA, 176 nt
Filed under: Enterococcus cecorum DSM 20682 = ATCC 43198
Lineage: Bacteria; Bacillati; Bacillota; Bacilli; Lactobacillales; Enterococcaceae
Description: Enterococcus sRNA 2410
Rfam family: Enterococcus sRNA 2410
About the family: Produced as 2 transcripts on Northern blot. Expressed in mid, late exponential and early stationary phases of growth.
Source: Rfam by way of RNAcentral